RNAcentral lists this ribosomal RNA (383 nucleotides) under uncultured eukaryote. RNAcentral's name for it is "partial 18S ribosomal RNA". It matches the Rfam family "Eukaryotic small subunit ribosomal RNA", at positions 592 to 976 of the family's 1831-position model. The record is from RNAcentral.
CAAUAGCGUAUAUUAAAGUUGUUGCAGUUAAAAAGCUCGUAGUUGGAUUUCUGGUGGGAGCGAUCGGUCUGGCGCUUAGCGCGAGAACUUGCAUCGUCUCCGGCCAUCCUUGGGGAGAGUCUGUCUGGCAUUAAGUUGUCGGGCAGAGGAUCCUCAUCGUUUACUGUGAAAAAAUUAGAGUGUUCAAAGCAGGCUUAUGCCGUUGAAUAUAUUAGCAUGGAAUAAUAAGAUAGGACUUUGGUACUAUUUUGUUGGUUUGCGCACCAAAGUAAUGAUUAAUAGGGACAGUUGGGGGUAUUCGUAUUCCGUUGUCAGAGGUGAAAUUCUUGGAUUUACGGAAGACGAACUACUGCGAAAGCAUUUACCAAGGAUGUUUUCAUUAA